RNAcentral lists this ribosomal RNA (484 nucleotides) under uncultured bacterium. RNAcentral describes it as "partial 16S ribosomal RNA". It matches the Rfam family "Bacterial small subunit ribosomal RNA", at positions 30 to 507 of the family's 1533-position model. The record is from RNAcentral.
AUUGAACGCUGGCGACAGGCCUAACACAUGCAAGUCGAGCGGAUGAAGGGAGCCUGCUCCUGGAUUCAGCGGCGGACGGGUGAGUAAUGCCUAGGAAUCUGCCUGGUAGUGGGGGAUAACGUCCGGAAACGGGCGCUAAUACCGCAUACGUCCUGAGGGAGAAAGUGGGGGAUCUUCGGACCUCACGCUAUCAGAUGAGCCUAGGUCGGAUUAGCUAGUUGGUGGGGUAAAGGCCUACCAAGGCGACGAUCCGUAACUGGUCUGAGAGGAUGAUCAGUCACACUGGAACUGAGACACGGUCCAGACUCCUACGGGAGGCAGCAGUGGGGAAUAUUGGACAAUGGGCGAAAGCCUGAUCCAGCCAUGCCGCGUGUGUGAAGAAGGUCUUCGGAUUGUAAAGCACUUUAAGUUGGGAGGAAGGGCAGUAAGUUAAUACCUUGCUGUUUUGACGUUACCAACAGAAUAAGCACCGGCUAACUUCGUG